UGGCUCAGUAACACGUGGAGAAUCUAACCUUUGGUGGAGGAUAAUCUCGGGAAACUGAGAAUAAUACUCCAUAAACAUAGGAUGCUGGAAUGCUUCUAUGUUGAAAGGCAACGCCAAAGGAUGACUCUGCGACCUAUCAGGCUGUAGUGAGUGUAAUGGACUCACUAACCUGCAACGGGUACGGGUGUUGGAAGACAUUGCCCGGAGAUGGACUCUGAGACAUGAGUCCAGGUUCUACGGAACGCAGCAGGCGCGAAAACUCCGCAAUGUACGAAAGUACGACGGGGGAAUUCUGAGUGCUUACGCCUUGCGUAGGCUGUUUUCUUGUCUAAAAAACAAGGAGAGUGAGGGCUGGGUAAGACGGGUGCCAUCUCGUGCAAUUCUGCACUUAUUGUGUUCGUUGCACGAAGCACAAGCCGCCGCGGUAAUACCCGCGGCCCGAGUGGUGCUCAUUAUUAUUGAGCCUAAAACGUCCGUAGCCGGUUUAAUAAAUUCUUGGGUAAAUCAUAUCGCUUAACGAUAUGAAUUCUGAGAACACUGCUAAACUCGGGAAUGGGAGAGGCCAGAGGUACUUUCAGGGUAGGGGUAAAAUCCCGUAAUCCUGAGAGGACCACCGGUGGCGAAGGCGUCUGGCUAGAACAUAUUCGACGGUAAGGGACGAAGCCCUGGGGCGCAAACGGGAUUAGAUACCCCGGUAGUCCAGGGUGUAAACGCUGUAGAUUUGGUGUUGGAAAUCCUACGGGGAUUCCCAGUGCCGGAGAGAAGUUGUUAAAUCUACUGCUUGGGGAGUACGGUCGCAAGACUGAAACUUAAAGGAAUUGGCGGGGGAGCACCGCAACGGGUGGAGCGUGCGGUUUAAUUGGAUUCAACGCCGAGAAACUCACCGGGGGCGACCAUUAUAUGAAGGCCAAGCCAAUGACUUUGCCUAAUUUUUGGAGAGGUGG
Molecule: ribosomal RNA, 944 nt
Filed under: uncultured archaeon
Lineage: Archaea
Description: bacterial SSU rRNA
Rfam family: Archaeal small subunit ribosomal RNA
Source: RNAcentral